AAGGCUUCCUGCUGUCUCUCCAGGCUCCGCAAGCAGGGCUGGGGCACCCUCAGGUAUGUCUCUCUACUGGCAGGGCAGUCCUUGGCUGUCUCAGUCACCACUGUGUCCCCAGCAUCACCCAGCUCAGUGACACAAAGGAAUGAGUGAAUAUAUACUUCUCUAUUUCAUAGAUAGAGAAGUCAUCACAUCAACAUAAAAUAAAAUACUGAAUGUUACGUAUC
This 221-nucleotide long non-coding RNA is filed under the name Homo sapiens (human). Its description in RNAcentral is "HSALNT0398326". The record is from RNAcentral. Lineage: Eukaryota; Metazoa; Chordata; Mammalia; Primates; Hominidae.